AUUGAACGCUGGCGGCAGGCCUAACACAUGCAAGUCGAACGGUAACAGGAAACAGCUUGCUGUUUCGCUGACGAGUGGCGGACGGGUGAGUAAUGUCUGGGAAACUGCCUGAUGGAGGGGGAUAACUACUGGAAACGGUAGCUAAUACCGCAUAACGUCGCAAGACCAAAGAGGGGGACCUUCGGGCCUCUUGCCAUCGGAUGUGCCCAGAUGGGAUUAGCUAGUAGGUGGGGUAACGGCUCACCUAGGCGACGAUCCCUAGCUGGUCCGAGAGGAUGACCAGCCACACUGGAACUGAGACACGGUCCAGACUCCUACGGGAGGCAGCAGUGGGGAAUAUUGCACAAUGGGCGCAAGCCUGAUGCAGCCAUGCCGCGCGUAUGAAGAAGGCCUUCGGGUUGUAAAGUACUUUCAGCGGGGAUGAAGGGAGUAAAGUUAAUACCUUUGCUCAUUGACGUUACCCGCAGAAGAAGCACCGGCUAACUCCGUG
This 490-nucleotide ribosomal RNA is filed under the name uncultured bacterium. RNAcentral's name for it is "partial 16S ribosomal RNA". It matches the Rfam family "Bacterial small subunit ribosomal RNA", at positions 30 to 507 of the family's 1533-position model. The record is from RNAcentral.